GGGCGCGUAGCUCAGCUAGGCAGAGCACUAGGCUUUUAACUUAGUGGCCGAGGGUUCAAAGGAACAAAGCGGCUGGCUUUGCCCGAACAAAUCCCUCUGCGCCCGCCA
RNAcentral lists this transfer RNA (108 nucleotides) under Candidatus Heimdallarchaeota archaeon. Its description in RNAcentral is "tRNA-Lys". It matches the Rfam family "tRNA". From Rfam's summary of the family: Transfer RNA (tRNA) molecules are approximately 80 nucleotides in length. Their secondary structure includes four short double-helical elements and three loops (D, anti-codon, and T loops). The record is from RNAcentral. Lineage: Archaea; Promethearchaeati; Candidatus Heimdallarchaeota.